AAGUAAUGGAUUGGAAUGAUCAGAACUGUCUAACACAGUUUGAGUUUACUAUAUAGCAAGAAAGUAUCACCUAUUCCAGUGUUCUCUCUUCAUGAGACAAGCUGUUAUAAAAACUUAAAACAA
RNAcentral lists this small nucleolar RNA (123 nucleotides) under Saimiri boliviensis boliviensis (Bolivian squirrel monkey). Its description in RNAcentral is "Small nucleolar RNA SNORA28 (ENSSBOG00000010724.1)". The record is from RNAcentral. Lineage: Eukaryota; Metazoa; Chordata; Mammalia; Primates; Cebidae.